UACGAGGGGUGCUAGCGUUAUUCGGAUUUAUUGGGCGUAAAGGGUACGCAGGCGGCAUGUUAAGUCAACCGUUAAAUCUUCCGGCUCAACCGGAAGCCUGCGGUAGAUACUGGCGUGCUAGAGGAUGAGAGAGAGAAGUGGAAUUCUCGGAGUAGCGGUAAAAUGCUUGGAUCUCGAGAGGAACACCGAUGGCGAAGGCAGCUUCUUGGCUCAUUCCUGACGCUCAGGUACGAAAGCGUGGGGAGCAAACAGGAUUAGAUACCCGCGUA
Molecule: ribosomal RNA, 269 nt
Filed under: uncultured prokaryote
Description: partial 16S ribosomal RNA
Rfam family: Bacterial small subunit ribosomal RNA
Source: RNAcentral